AUUGUUACAACGGAUAAGUGGCUAAAGUUCACCGACCACUCGUGAAAACAACCCAAUUUUAGAGCCAACAAUCCUGAUUUUCUUUGUCAGUGGGGUAAAGCUGCGUACACACCACCCUCCCUAGAUCGCACUUGUGGGAUUACACCAAGUAUCUUUGUUUUCGCAUUUGGAGUAAAUUUCAUGAAUUAAAAAAUCACGCUAAUUCUAAUUCCACCCUUUCAUUUAAGUAAUUUGUUUUCACUUCCUUUUAAUGUAAGAUGAGUUGUGGUUCUUUUUUCGAUUUGUACUUGAAGACAUAUUGAAUUUUCAUCCCUUAUAAAAUAACAAAUGGCCUUCAACAUUUGCAGGUUUCUUGUCCCAACCUGGAAGAGCUAUACCUCUGGGGGCCUCAUAGCAUAACUGCUCUAUGCUCUCACCAACUUCCAACAGGCUACUUCAACAAACUUAAACAAUUGGAAGUGAGUGAGUGUGGCAAAUUGAGAAAAUUGAUGUCUCCAUCAGUGGCCAGAGGUGUUCUUAAUUUGCGGAGACUAGAGAUAAGAAAUUGUCAAUCAAUGGAAGAAGUGAUCACAGAAGAGGAACAACAAGGAGAAGAAAUGAGUAAUGAGCCCUUAUUUCCCCAGUUGGGAAAGCUGGUGCUCGACGAGUUACCAAAGCUGGGGCAUUUCUUUCUGACUAGCGUGUUCUUGAAUUUCCAUUUCUUUGGAAUGUGAAGAUUGAAAAUGUGAAGAUUGAAAUUAAAGUUGCCCUGAAAUGAAGGCGUUUGCCCUGGGAUCUGUGAGUAAACCGCGUUUGAAAUAUCUGAGUGUAGAUGAAUGAAUCAGAAAUGCUAAGGUGAAAAAUGAUCUUAAUAAGACGAUACAACAGAGGAUUAAUUCUAAGGGGAUGAUGCAUGGAGAAUGGAGAUAAUUGAGAAAUUAGAAGAUUGUCAAUUUUGACAAAUAAAAUCAGGCAAUCAGGUUCCUACUAAUAUCUUUUUCGACAGGAAAACGAUUUCACCUCUUUUUAUUUUUUUAUUUUUUAUAGCCUGAUAACCUAAAGCUAAAUACCAAGCUAUGCUUACCUUUUAACUCCACAAACAUUUAUGCCAGGUUUCUUAAUUAACUGGCAAUCAUCAUUUUAGAUGCUAAUGUAAAAAAUCUACGAGGUGGAGCAUUAGUGUCUUAUCUGAUGACGUUUUCGAAUUUUGAUAAAAAUUUCCACUUCUUUUUGUUCACGCAUAAAGAAAAGGGGAAUGGCUAAAAGAAUGAAGCUUUAGCCAUGAUACAUUAUAUGAUAAUUAUGUCAAAGCAACAAUCAUAAUAAAAAAAAAAAAAUCUCUUUUUGGAGGAAAUGUAAAAUUGAAUUUAUACCUUCAACAAAAAUACUUUUCCCGAAACUAUUUUUGCAGCACAAUUUUAUGGUACAACUACAAACUGUAAUGGUAAUCAAAGUAAAAAAAAGUACUAUUAAAUAAAAUUUCUUUCUCCCCAAAAUUCAACUUCCAUGAACCUGAUAUUUCACAUUCAUUUGAAAGCAACUUCCGAUAUGUUUUUCUUUGGAAUUGCAAAUAGACAUCUAAUGGGUUCACCAUUCAUCAGUUUGAGCUUUGAUUUUUCAUUCAAAUUUCAUGUAACUCACCAUAUACAUAUUCGAUUAAUGAUUGUUUAUACUGAUUAGCAUGGGAUACACGUGCAGCGCACGUGUCCCGAUAUUAGUAAUAUUAAAAGUGUGAAGCCCUAAGUCUAAAGUAAGAUUACAAAAAUACCCUUUAAAGGUUAAAUCUUUGACCCAUUUACCCUCCACUAAAUUAUUCCUUCAUUUGUAGUGUAUGGAAAAAACAAUUUAUGAAAUUUGUCUAAAAAAUUAGCCGAAGAGUUGUUACAUCAAAGACAGCCACAUCAGCAAGUAUUCACUAUACAAUUAAUAUGAGUCCUUUUUUAACAAAAAAAAUAAAAAAUUUCUGCUUCUUUUAGCUUACAUGAAUUUCAUCCGUUUGUUCUUUUUUUAUUACGUAUUAUCUUUUACUUUUUAAAUGUUCCAUGUCCUUCACCUAAAAAAAAAAAACCUUUUCUUAUUUUUCUUAAUUUAUGUUUAAAAUUCAAACUUUUCACUUUCCAUCUUCUAUAUAACUUAGUAACUCAUUUCGUCAUUAGCCAUUCAUGAAUAAAAAAUAAAAAAAAUUGUAGAAUUUAAGAGUCCAUUAUAUUAAUGAAUUAAAUGUAGGCUUAUCCAAUAAAUAUGUGGAAGAGAAGCCCAAAGAAAACCAACCAAAAACAACUAUAUAAAGGCAAGAAAUGGUUUUCAUUUUCCUUCAAGGAUGCCUUUUCGUUUAGCAGAUUUUUUUAAUCUUCCAUUUUUGUUUUCAAUACAAAAGUAGCAGAAAUGCAAGGUGAAUUACAAGUGCUGCAAUCACCUUUACUGGAAUUCAAGCUACUUUAUUCUAUGAGUUCAACUGAGUCGAACUUACUUCAGAAUUGUUAUGAUUUCGUAAAAUAGAUGCAAUUGUUGGUUGAUAAAUGAGUACCACAAACAAUAAGAUCACAUUAUAUAUGUAUA
Long non-coding RNA from Lycium ferocissimum, 2538 nucleotides. RefSeq lists it as uncharacterized. NCBI's taxonomy places the organism in Eukaryota, Viridiplantae, Streptophyta, Magnoliopsida, Solanales, Solanaceae. The transcript has 2 exons. The record is from RefSeq and is a predicted model, not a curated record.